Pseudocohnilembus persalinus is the source of this 71-nucleotide non-coding RNA. NCBI's taxonomy places the organism in Eukaryota, Ciliophora, Oligohymenophorea, Philasterida, Pseudocohnilembidae. The record is from Rfam.
GGCUCUAUAAUUUAAUGGUAGAAUACUUGACUGUUAAUCAAGACGCCGCAGAUCGAUACUGCGUAGAGCCU